Molecule: long non-coding RNA, 1203 nt
Organism: Phacochoerus africanus (Common warthog)
Lineage: Eukaryota; Metazoa; Chordata; Mammalia; Artiodactyla; Suidae
Exons: 4
Source: RefSeq, a predicted model, not a curated record
GGCCGGCAGGGAGCAGCGAUGUUGAGAAGGAAUUUUAUCCUUCUACCAAAAAGUUCUCCAGAAAACCUUCCUGCCUUAGUAGUGGACCGUGCAGAAAAUAAUGGAGUCACUAAUGGUUGACUCACCCUUAGAAAACCUACAUCAGCCUGCAAUUAUCCUCUUAUUUGUGAGCUCAUUGGAAUCAUGGCUUCCACCUCCAGACAAGGCCUGGUCAGGUGUUGCUCCCCGUAGUGACCCCAGACGUCAGCACCGAACCCAGUUCAGAAAGCUCUUCAGUGUCCGGCCACUAAUAAUCAUGCCAAGACCCUCUGUUGGCUCUGCUCCACCCUGGGACAGUCAACCAUCUGCUGGGAGCAGGCAUGGCAGGUGCCCACGUGACCGGGUUCGCAUCAGCAGAGGGGAGGACUGACGAGCGUUCUCGAACACCAGGGCCAGUGACGUGGUGAAGAGAGACCUGAUCUAAGGAAAGAGGAAGCAGCUCCAGAGAACCAGCAGCACGGGUGGAAGCAGCAGUGGGAAACCCCAGCUGCUCUGUGGAAAGCCGAGGCUGGCGCUCCGUUCAUCGGAGCAGAAGUGACAUCACAGAAAGCACACGAGGUUGGAUAAAACAGAAGGACAAGGAAAUCACUGCAUUCUCAAGGUCAUCCAAUAUAUCAGAAUUGAUGGAGUCCUGCCUGACUCACCUGCUAUGAGAAUACGCAGCUGCAUCACCCACCUGGGUUUAUUCAACUUAGAUGAUGAAGUCACUCAUAUAUGAAACAAGGAACCCUGGAAUUCAUGAACAUAUUUAUCUUUGAUUAGCAAGAGCCUCUUUCAUAUCAAUAGGAAAUGAAACCAUAAGAAAAAACUACCUGAAGUACUCGAGACAGGAACUGCUGUAUCAUAAUGACUGUGUUCCCAUAGUGAUCUCACAAGAUAUGCAAAAACCUGGGGCCACUUUGCAGUCAGCACACAACUAUGGAUUGAUAAUGAGCCUGUUGGUGGAUGGUGGGAGUCUGCCUGUAGCUGGAAAAUCCUUGCAGCAGGUAAAAACAUUCACCAGUAACAGGAUGCUGAAAGCUGCCAUAGAACUCUGCUGUCUUGAAAGUACCCUGAUGCACAACUGUCAAAGAUUUUGAAACACAGGAUAAAAAAAAUAAAAAUUGAACAAUGUGGAGAUGAGCAACUUUGUAUGGUGCCAAGUUCAUGAUCAACCUCCAGACC